This 253-nucleotide ribosomal RNA is filed under the name uncultured bacterium. Its description in RNAcentral is "partial 16S ribosomal RNA". It matches the Rfam family "Bacterial small subunit ribosomal RNA", at positions 524 to 776 of the family's 1533-position model. The record is from RNAcentral.
UACAGAGGGUGCGAGCGUUAAUCGGAAUUACUGGGCGUAAAGCGCGCGUAGGCGGCUUUGCAAGUCGGGUGUGAAAUCCUGGAGCUCAACUCCAGAACUGCCUUCGAUACUGGCGAUCUUGAGUCCGGAAGAGGUGAGUGGAACUCCUAGUGUAGAGGUGGAAUUCGUAGAUAUUAGGAAGAACACCAGUGGCGAAGGCGGCUCACUGGUCCGGUACUGACGCUGAGGUGCGAAAGCGUGGGGAGCAAACAGG